Molecule: ribosomal RNA, 191 nt
Filed under: uncultured bacterium
Lineage: Bacteria
Description: partial 16S ribosomal RNA
Rfam family: Bacterial small subunit ribosomal RNA
Source: RNAcentral
CAGGCUGCAACUCGCCUGCAUGAAGUCGGAGUUGCUAGUAAUCGUGGAUCAGAAUGCCACGGUGAAUGCGUUCCCGGGUCUUGUACACACCGCCCGUCACACCAUGGAAGGUUGGGGGCGCCCGAAGUUGGUCGAAAGAUAGAUUACCUAAGGCGAAAUCAAUGACUGGGGUGAAGUCGUAACAAGGUACC